CCAAAGGCUCUUUUAAGAGCCACCUACUUAAUCAUCGAAAGAGCUU
This is a non-coding RNA of Calypte anna (Anna's hummingbird), 46 nucleotides long. NCBI's taxonomy places the organism in Eukaryota, Metazoa, Chordata, Aves, Apodiformes, Trochilidae. The record is from Rfam.